GGGCCCGCGGGCUAUUAGCUAGUUGGUGGGGUAACGGCCUACCAAGGCGAUGAUGGCUAGCCGGCCUGAGAGGGCGACCGGCCACACAGGGACUGAGACAAGGCCCUGUCCCCUACGGGAGGCGCAGGCGGGAAUCGUUCACAAUGGGCGCAAGCCUGAUGACGCGACGCCGCGUGAGGGAUGAAGGCCUUCGGGUUGUAAACCUCUGCCGGGAGAGAAGCUGACGUUAUCUCCCAGGAAGCCUCGGCUAACUACGUGCCAGCAGCCGCGGUAACACGUAGGAGGCAAGCGUUGUCCGGAAUUACUGGGCGUAAAGGGUGUGUAGGCGGGACGGUAAGUCGGGCGUGAAAUCCCACGGCUCAACCGUGGAACUGCUCCCGAUACUGCCGACCUUGAGUACGGGAUAGGAGAGUGGAACUCACGGUGUAGCGGUAAAAUGCGUAGAU
RNAcentral lists this ribosomal RNA (446 nucleotides) under uncultured bacterium. Its description in RNAcentral is "bacterial SSU rRNA". It matches the Rfam family "Bacterial small subunit ribosomal RNA", at positions 227 to 695 of the family's 1533-position model. The record is from RNAcentral.